RNAcentral lists this ribosomal RNA (362 nucleotides) under uncultured bacterium. RNAcentral describes it as "bacterial SSU rRNA". It matches the Rfam family "Bacterial small subunit ribosomal RNA", at positions 29 to 418 of the family's 1533-position model. The record is from RNAcentral.
AACGAACGCUGGCGGCAUGCCUAACACAUGCAAGUCGAACGAGACCUUCGGGUCUAGUGGCGCACGGGUGCGUAACACGUGGGAAUCUGCCCUUGGGUUCGGAAUAACAGUUGGGAAACGACUGCUAAUACCGGAUGAUGACGUAAGUCCAAAGAUUUAUCGCCCAAGGAUGAGCCCGCGUCGGAUUAGCUAGUUGGUGGGGUAAAGGCCUACCAAGGCGACGAUCCGUAGCUGGCUGAGAGGAUGAUCAGCCACACUGGGACUGAGAUACGGCCCAGACUCCUACGGGAGGCAGCAGUAAGGAAUCUUCCACAAUGGGCGAAAGCCUGAUGGAGCAACGCCGCGUGCAGGAUGACGGCCUU